UUGACCUCAAAUCGGGUGAGACUACCCGCUGAACUUUAAGCAUAUCAAUAAGCGGAGGAAAAGAAACUAACAAGGGAUUCCCCUAGUAACUGCGAGU
This 97-nucleotide ribosomal RNA is filed under the name uncultured ectomycorrhiza (Lactarius pseudomucidus). RNAcentral describes it as "partial 28S ribosomal RNA". It matches the Rfam family "Eukaryotic large subunit ribosomal RNA", at positions 1 to 94 of the family's 3401-position model. Lineage: Eukaryota; Fungi; Basidiomycota; Agaricomycetes; Russulales; Russulaceae. The record is from RNAcentral.